GCUUAGCAUAUAUUAUUGAUGUUGCAGUUAAAACGUUCGUAGUCGACCUUCGUCUGCUAAUGUGCUUAAAGUAUCCAACUUUGUAGCACCGUCGGCAGAUAUUGUGUAGUUGCUGUCUUCAUGCUUCAUGAAGCUGCACUCUACACCUUACUUUGAGUGAAUCGGCGUGUUCCACGCAGGUAUUUUGCCUUGAACGAUUUACCAUAGAAUAAAUACAUUGUAACAAUGCUCUUAUGUCUAUUCGGGAACAUUGUUUAUAAUGACAAGAACGGUUGAGGGCAUUCAUAUUCAACUGCCAGAGGUGAAAUUCUUUGAUUAGUUGAGGAUGAACAAUGGCGAAAGCAUCUGCCAAGGACGUUUNUUUUGA
Molecule: ribosomal RNA, 367 nt
Filed under: uncultured eukaryote
Lineage: Eukaryota
Description: partial 18S ribosomal RNA
Rfam family: Eukaryotic small subunit ribosomal RNA
Source: RNAcentral